UACGUAGGGUGCGAGCGUUAAUCGGAAUUACUGGGCGUAAAGCGUGCGCAGGCGGUCCGCUAAAACCGAUGUGAAAUCCCCGGGCUUAACCUGGGAACUGCAUUGGUGACUGGCGGGCUGGAGUAUGGCAGAGGGGGGUAGAAUUCCACGUGUAGCAGUGAAAUGCGUAGAGAUGUGGAGGAAUACCGAUGGCGAAGGCAGCCCCCUGGGCCAAUACUGACGCUCAUGCACGAAAGCGUGGGGAGCAAACAGG
Molecule: ribosomal RNA, 253 nt
Filed under: uncultured bacterium
Lineage: Bacteria
Description: partial 16S ribosomal RNA
Rfam family: Bacterial small subunit ribosomal RNA
Source: RNAcentral